RNAcentral lists this ribosomal RNA (253 nucleotides) under uncultured bacterium. Its description in RNAcentral is "partial 16S ribosomal RNA". It matches the Rfam family "Bacterial small subunit ribosomal RNA", at positions 524 to 776 of the family's 1533-position model. The record is from RNAcentral.
UACGUAGGUGGCAAGCGUUGUCCGGAUUUACUGGGCGUAAAGAGCGCGCAGGCGGUCGUUCAAGUCGCGUGUGAAAGCCCCCGGCUCAACUGGGGAGGGUCACGCGAUACUGAUCGACUCGAAGGCAGGAGAGGGUAGUGGAAUUCCCGGUGUAGUGGUGAAAUGCGUAGAUAUCGGGAGGAACACCAGUGGCGAAGGCGGCUCACUGGCCCGUAACUGACGCUGAGGUGCGAAAGCCAGGGGAGCAAACGGG